AAGAAUAAUUUUUGGUUAAGGAAUUUUAUAUAGUUAAGGAAGGUAAUUUUUUUUAUAUUUGUUUAUAAUUAUUUAUUUUAGAAGUUGUUAUAAUAAUAGUACUGUGAAGGAAAUAUUAAUUUUGUGGGUUAGUAUAAUUAAGUUUAUAGUACCUUUUGUAUCAGGGUAUUUUAAUUAGAUUUAUGAAUUUUAUUUUUCCCGAAAGGAAAUGAGUUAAUAAAGUUAUUAUUUAAAGUGUCAUAUUUAAAUUUUAAGGUUUUAUUAGGAGUGAGAUGCUAUUCGAAUUUUUUGAUAUCUGGUUAUUUUAAGAGAUUAUUUAAAUAAGUUUCUUAUUGAUUAAUUUUUAAAAUUAUAAUUUUUAAGAAUAUGAGAAUAUUAGGGUUAAGCUUAAUAUUAAAUUAUACUUUAUUUUUUUGUUAGUCUUAGAGGCUUAUGAAGUAGCUUUUUGUUUAAUAACAGUAUUAUUAAGAGCUAAAAAUGUUAAUUAGUUAUUAAGAUGAUUUUAUAUAUUUUUAUGUUUUUUUAUAAUGAAAUUAUUAGUAGAAUGAAUUAGUUAUAAUUUAGUUUUUAGAAAAAUUAUUUGAUAAUAUUAAAAUGUUUUAUUAUGUAAAGGAAUUCGGCAAAAGUAAGUUUCGUUUGUUUAUCAAAAACUUUUCUUUAAGAAUUAAUUUAAGGUCUUCCCUGCUCAAUGAUUAAUUUUAAAUAGCCGCAGUAUAUUGACUGUGCUAAGGUAGCAUAAUCAUUUGUUUCUUAAAUGGGAUCUAGUAUGAAGGGGUUAACGGGGCUAAACUGUCUUUAUGUAAUUAUUUUAAUUUAAAAUUUUAGUAAGAAUGCUAGAAUAAAACCAAAGGACGAUAAGACCCUAUAAAGCUUUAUUUAAUUAGUUUUUUAUAUGUUUACUUAUAAAAUGUAAAUAUAAAUUUUGCUGGGGCGGUAAUUUUGAUGAAACUUUUAUUGAAUAAUUUUUGAUCCAUUAAUAAUGAUAGUAGGAAUAAGUUACUUUAGGGAUAACAGUAUAAUUUAUUUAGGGAGAUCAAAUCGAAGGAUAAGUUUGUUACCUCGAUGUUGAAUUAAAUAUAUAAUAAGGUGAAGUAGCUUUAUUAAUCAGUCUGUUCGACUGUUAAAUAUUUACAUGAUUUGAGUUCAAACCGGUUUAAGCCAGGU
Molecule: ribosomal RNA, 1164 nt
Filed under: Globipes simplex
Lineage: Eukaryota; Metazoa; Arthropoda; Arachnida; Opiliones; Sclerosomatidae
Description: partial 16S ribosomal RNA
Source: RNAcentral